CUGUCAGUAGAGAGAAAAAUGAAAACAAUGGGUUCUGCCUAUACAGAGUUAUCCUCCUGUUAGCGGUGGCACCCAACAGGCUUAAACAGGGCAAGUUUUAAACAUGUUUUUAGCCUCUAAACCUGUUCAAAAUGUCAUUAAAAAUGCCUACCCAUGUGCAUUGAUUCCUUCGUAAAGAAGACAGUGAAUCUGACUGCCGUAGAUGGGACAGAAAGGCAUAAAAGUUGUGAUAAUUCAUACCUCUGUUUAUUUCCUGUUUUCCGGUGAAGUCUACACUAGUUGAUUGUCGAACUCAUACAAUUCAACAUUCCAAAAUUUAUAAAAAUAAAAAUAAAAUGAUCACC
Molecule: long non-coding RNA, 344 nt
Organism: Etheostoma cragini (Arkansas darter)
Lineage: Eukaryota; Metazoa; Chordata; Actinopteri; Perciformes; Percidae
Exons: 4
Source: RefSeq, a predicted model, not a curated record